Molecule: ribosomal RNA, 253 nt
Filed under: uncultured bacterium
Lineage: Bacteria
Description: partial 16S ribosomal RNA
Rfam family: Bacterial small subunit ribosomal RNA
Source: RNAcentral
UACGUAGGGUGCAAGCGUUGUCCGGAUUUAUUGGGCGUAAAGAGCUCGUAGGCGGUUUCGUAAGUCGGAAGUCAAAACAUAAGGCUCAACCUUGUGUCGCUUCCGAUACUGCGAUGACUUGAGUUUGGUAGGGGAUGAGGGAAUUCCUGGUGUAGCGGUGAAAUGCGCAGAUAUCAGGAGGAACACCGGUGGCGAAGGCGCUCAUCUGGGCCAAUACUGACGCUGAGGAGCGAAAGCGUGGGGAGCGAACAGG